UUUUAUUUGAAUUAUAUUGUGAUUUGUUUAGAACACAAGCUGAAGAGCAGAGUGUUGAAGAAGACAAGCCCAAACCAACAGUUUCGGUCUCUGUCGGAGUUUGCUUGCCUAAACUACAGGAAGAAGCAGGGGACCAAUCAGAAAGCCCUGUUUGUGAGACACCUCAGUGCUGGGAACCUGUCUUUGCCUCUGUCUAUGCUAUCAAUACACCCCAAUAUAUCAUGUGUUUUAAUCA
Molecule: long non-coding RNA, 235 nt
Organism: Girardinichthys multiradiatus
Lineage: Eukaryota; Metazoa; Chordata; Actinopteri; Cyprinodontiformes; Goodeidae
Exons: 3
Source: RefSeq, a predicted model, not a curated record